Ceratotherium simum simum (southern white rhinoceros) is the source of this 78-nucleotide non-coding RNA. NCBI's taxonomy places the organism in Eukaryota, Metazoa, Chordata, Mammalia, Perissodactyla, Rhinocerotidae. The record is from RefSeq and is a predicted model, not a curated record.
UGUGGAAACUUUGUACUUUCCACUCUAUUUUGCUGUGAACCUAAAACUGCUCUGAACAAUAAAGUCUAGGGCCGGCCC